RNAcentral lists this ribosomal RNA (466 nucleotides) under uncultured bacterium. RNAcentral's name for it is "bacterial SSU rRNA". It matches the Rfam family "Bacterial small subunit ribosomal RNA", at positions 1 to 458 of the family's 1533-position model. The record is from RNAcentral.
CCCUUAGAGUUUGAUCCUGGCUCAGGAUGAACGCUAGCGACAGGCUUAACACAUGCAAGUCGAGGGGCAGCAUGAUUUGUAGCAAUACAGAUUGAUGGCGACCGGCGCACGGGUGAGUAACGCGUAUGCAACUUACCUAUCAGAGGGGGAUAGCCCGGCGAAAGUCGGAUUAAUACCCCAUAAAACAGGGGUCCCGCAUGGGAAUAUUUGUUAAAGAUUCAUCGCUGAUAGAUAGGCAUGCGUUCCAUUAGGCAGUUGGCGGGGUAACGGCCCACCAAACCGACGAUGGAUAGGGGUUCUGAGAGGAAGGUCCCCCACAUUGGUACUGAGACACGGACCAAACUCCUACGGGAGGCAGCAGUGAGGAAUAUUGGUCAAUGGCCGAGAGGCUGAACCAGCCAAGUCGCGUGAAGGAAGAAGGAUCUAUGGUUUGUAAACUUCUUUUAUAGGGGAAUAAAGGGAGGAC